Molecule: ribosomal RNA, 502 nt
Filed under: uncultured bacterium
Lineage: Bacteria
Description: partial 16S ribosomal RNA
Rfam family: Bacterial small subunit ribosomal RNA
Source: RNAcentral
GACGAACGCUGGCGGCGUGCCUAAUACAUGCAAGUCGAACGAACCGCGACUAGGUGCUUGCACUUGGUCAAGGUGAGUGGCGAAUGGGUGAGUAACACGUGGGUAACCUACCUCAUAGUGGGGGAUAACAGUCGGAAACGACUGCUAAUACCGCAUAGGACAUAGGAUCACAUGAUCCAGUGAGGAAAGGUGGCGCAAGCUAUCGCUAAGAGAUGGACCCGCGGUGCAUUAGCUAGUUGGUAGGGUAAAGGCCUACCAAGGCGAUGAUGCAUAGCCGUCCUGAGAGGGUGAUCGGCCACAUUGGGACUGAGACACGGCCCAAACUCCUACGGGAGGCAGCAGUAGGGAAUCUUCCGCAAAGGACGCAAGUCUGACGGAGCAACGCCGCGUGAGUGAAGAAGGUCUUCGGAUCGUAAAGCUCUGUUGUUAGAGAAGAACAGCGCAUAGAGUAACUGUUAUGCGUGUGACGGUAUCUAACCAGAAAGCCACGGCUAACUACGUG